RNAcentral lists this ribosomal RNA (468 nucleotides) under uncultured bacterium. RNAcentral's name for it is "partial 16S ribosomal RNA". It matches the Rfam family "Bacterial small subunit ribosomal RNA", at positions 28 to 507 of the family's 1533-position model. The record is from RNAcentral.
GACGAACGCUGGCGGCGUGCUUAACACAUGCAAGUCGAACGGAAAGGCCCUGCUUUUGUUGUUUGCUCGAGUGUCGAAAGGGUGAGUAACACGUGAGUAACCUGCCCUUUACUUUGGGAUAAUUUCAUGAAACUGGGUCUCAUACCGGGUAUGAGCUCCUGCUGCAUGUUGGGGUUUUGAAAGUUUCGGCGGUUGGGGAUGGACUCGCGGAUUAUCAUCUUGUUGGUGGGGUAGUGGCUUACUAAGGCGUUGACGGGUAGCCGGCCUGAGAGGGUGACCGGCCACAUUGGGACUGAGAUACGGCCCAGACUCCUACGGGAGGAAGCAGUGGGGAAUAUUGCACAAUGGGCGGAAGCCUGAUGCAGCAACGCCGCGUGCGGGAUGACGGACUUCGGGUUGUAAACCGCUUUCGCCUGUGACGAAGCGUGAGUGACGGUAAUGGGUAAAGAAGCACCGGCUAACUACGUG